This is a long non-coding RNA of Notothenia coriiceps (black rockcod), 239 nucleotides long. RefSeq lists it as uncharacterized. The record is from RefSeq and is a predicted model, not a curated record. The transcript has 3 exons. Lineage: Eukaryota; Metazoa; Chordata; Actinopteri; Perciformes; Nototheniidae.
GCUGGUUCUGCUCGGUCUGGUUCGGCUCAGCUCGGCUCAGCCGGUGGAUCUGAAGAAGCUUCAAACCGCUCUGCAGGAUCUGCAGGUCGAGAGGCGAGAGAUGAGCUUGCGUCUGGACAUGGCUGAGCGUGAACUGAAGAGAGUGAAAGAAACCCCUAAAGUUGCGUUCGCUGCCUCGCUGGGAGGAAACGGCCUCGUGAAGGCGACCAGCGGAAACAAAAACCUCGUCUACACGGACC